This 513-nucleotide ribosomal RNA is filed under the name uncultured bacterium. Its description in RNAcentral is "partial 16S ribosomal RNA". It matches the Rfam family "Bacterial small subunit ribosomal RNA", at positions 28 to 523 of the family's 1533-position model. The record is from RNAcentral.
GACGAACGCUGGCGGCAUGCCUAAUACAUGCAAGUCGAGCGAACAGAUGAAGUGCUUGCGCUUCUGACGUUAGCGGCGAACGGGUGAGUAGCACGUAAGGAAUCUACCUAUAAGCGGGGGAUAACAUUCGGAAACGGGUGCUAAUACCGCAUAAUAUCUUCUUCCGCAUGGAAGAAGAUUGAAAGACGGCUCUGCUGUCACUUAUAGAUGACCUUGCGGUGCAUUAGUUAGUUGGUGGGGUAAUGGCCUACCAAGACGAUGAUGCAUAGCCGACCUGAGAGGGUGAUCGGCCACAUUGGGACUGAGGCACGGCCCAAACUCCUACGGGAGGCAGCAGUAGGGAAUCUUCCGCAAUGGGCGAAAGCCUGACGGAGCAAUGCCGCGUGAGUGAAGAAGGCCUUCGGGUCGUAAAACUCUGUUAUAAGAGAAGAACAAAUUGUAGAGUAACUGCUACAGUCUUGACGGUAUCUUAUCAGAAAGCCACGGCUAACUACGUGCCAGCCGCCGCCGUAA